UUUCCCCUCCGAGUGCCCCGGAGUCCCUAGGAAGUUAAGGAUGUGUGUUCCCUCAUUGCCCCCUUGCUCUUUCCUACUCUUCUCUGUGUUCCAGGGUCCCCCGACAGAGCGAUUCCGAGGCUCUGCCACUAGCGGCUUGUCGGAUGCAGCAGAAGUCCUCGGAGAGCUAAGAAGUCGAUGAAAUCUUAUUUGGUACAGCUUUCACUAUUGCUUGCAUGUGGGUCUGGUUAAGGGUGGAAAUGCGCAGACGUUUCCCAAAUGCUGUUUACCUUCACAGCGCAUUGCACCGUGACUUCUGAAAGUAAAGAGAAACAGGCCGGAACAAUCAGUGAGUGCAACAUAGGGCAUUUUGUUUGAUAACAGGAACACAGCUGUGGUGUUAAUAAAAUGCUUUAA
RNAcentral lists this long non-coding RNA (396 nucleotides) under Dasypus novemcinctus (nine-banded armadillo). Its description in RNAcentral is "lncRNA (ENSDNOG00000051904.1)". Lineage: Eukaryota; Metazoa; Chordata; Mammalia; Cingulata; Dasypodidae. The record is from RNAcentral.